CAGUGCUACCACUCCUUUAGAAUUUGUCUAGCAGGUUUUUUGACCAUUGCCAGAAGGCCCCC
Molecule: small nuclear RNA, 62 nt
Filed under: Sciurus vulgaris (Eurasian red squirrel)
Lineage: Eukaryota; Metazoa; Chordata; Mammalia; Rodentia; Sciuridae
Description: U7 small nuclear RNA (ENSSVLG00005005344.1)
Rfam family: U7 small nuclear RNA
About the family: Animal histone pre-mRNAs are spliced by a different mechanism than nuclear pre-mRNAs and self-splicing introns.
Source: Rfam by way of RNAcentral